RNAcentral lists this ribosomal RNA (253 nucleotides) under uncultured bacterium. Its description in RNAcentral is "partial 16S ribosomal RNA". It matches the Rfam family "Bacterial small subunit ribosomal RNA", at positions 524 to 776 of the family's 1533-position model. The record is from RNAcentral.
UACGUAGGGUGCGAGCGUUAAUCGGAAUUACUGGGCGUAAAGCGUGCGCAGGCGGUUCUAUAAGACAGAUGUGAAAUCCCCGGGCUCAACCUGGGAACUGCAUUUGUGACUGUAGAGCUGGAGUACGGUAGAGGGGGAUGGAAUUCCGCGUGUAGCAGUGAAAUGCGUAGAUAUGCGGAGGAACACCGAUGGCGAAGUCAAUCCCCUGGACCUGUACUGACGCUCAUGCACGAAAGCGUGGGGAGCAAACAGG